AACUGCAUCGUCUAUAAUCAAAAUGGGAAAACUACUAGAUGUUCUGACUCUCCUAGUCUGUCUGGUUGUCCUGUCAUCCGGUAUUCCCAGUGGUGGGUGCCACAAUGGACAUGUUUUAAUGUGUCAUGACUGGACACAUUGUUGCGAUGGAUAUAAGUGUGAUUAUAGAUACGGCCAUUGGGGUUACUGUGUAAUGAUGAAUGGUGAUGUUUAUAAACCUGGUUAAAACUGAGACGAUGGCGCCAGAUCCUCAGGAAAUGACAAUGCAAUAUACCACUUUUCUUGAUUUAACGUUACGUUUGUGAUUUGAGUCAUUUUCUUGCCUAGAAAUAAAAUCUUGUCUACAACCUC
Ostrea edulis (European flat oyster) is the source of this 351-nucleotide long non-coding RNA. RefSeq lists it as uncharacterized. The record is from RefSeq and is a predicted model, not a curated record. Lineage: Eukaryota; Metazoa; Mollusca; Bivalvia; Ostreida; Ostreidae. The transcript is spliced from 3 exons.